CAGGACGAACGCUGGCGGCGUGCCUAAUACAUGCAAGUCGAACGGUCUUUCUAUGGAAGCUUGCUUCCACUGAGAAGAUAGUGGCGAACGGGUGAGUAACACGUGGGUAACCUGCCCAUAAGAGGGGGGAUAACAUCCGGAAACGGGUGCUAAUACCGCAUAGUUUUCUUGAUCGCAUGAUCGGGAAAGGAAAGACGGCCUUUGUGCUGUCGCUUAUGGAUGGACCCGCGGCGUAUUAGUUAGUUGGUGAGGUAACGGCUCACCAAGACGAUGAUACGUAGCCGACCUGAGAGGGUGAUCGGCCACAUUGGGACUGAGACACGGCCCAAACUCCUACGGGAGGCAGCAGUAGGGAAUCUUCCGCAAUGGACGAAAGUCUGACGGAGCAACGCCGCGUGAGUGAAGAAGGUUUUCGGAUCCGCAAAACUCUGUUGUCAGAGAAGAACAAGUUGGAGAGUAACUGCUCCAGCCUUGACGGUAUCUGACCAGAAAGCCACGGCUAACUACGUGCCAGCAGCAGC
Molecule: ribosomal RNA, 521 nt
Filed under: uncultured bacterium
Lineage: Bacteria
Description: bacterial SSU rRNA
Rfam family: Bacterial small subunit ribosomal RNA
Source: RNAcentral